This 304-nucleotide unclassified non-coding RNA is filed under the name uncultured fungus. RNAcentral describes it as "partial contains small subunit ribosomal RNA, internal transcribed spacer 1, and 5.8S ribosomal RNA". The stretch from base 1 to 73 matches the Rfam family "Eukaryotic small subunit ribosomal RNA", at positions 1759 to 1831 of the family's 1831-position model. Lineage: Eukaryota; Fungi. The record is from RNAcentral.
GCAAACUUGGUCAUUUAGAGGAAGUAAAAGUCGUAACAAGGUUUCCGUAGGUGAACCUGCGGAAGGAUCAUUACUGAGUGUCUGAAAUCUCUGAUUUCAACCUCCCACCCCUUGUGUUUGAAUCUCAAAGUUGCUUUGGCAAAGCAGUAGAUCCUAGUAUCUACCUCUGGUGCAAGCUAGGGAGUUACCCUUUGCCAAAGUCAUAUUUACAAUCUGAUUUCAAUUGAUUGUCUGAAGUCUUUUAAAAUCAAACAAAAUUUUCAACAACGGAUCUCUUGGUUCUGGCAUCGAUGAAGAACGCAGC